Molecule: ribosomal RNA, 567 nt
Filed under: Acinetobacter baylyi
Lineage: Bacteria; Pseudomonadati; Pseudomonadota; Gammaproteobacteria; Moraxellales; Moraxellaceae
Description: bacterial SSU rRNA
Rfam family: Bacterial small subunit ribosomal RNA
Source: RNAcentral
GCAGCAGUGGGGAAUAUUGGACAAUGGGGGGAACCCUGAUCCAGCCAUGCCGCGUGUGUGAAGAAGGCCUUAUGGUUGUAAAGCACUUUAAGCGAGGAGGAGGCUUACCUAGUUAAUACCUAGGAUAAGUGGACGUUACUCGCAGAAUAAGCACCGGCUAACUCUGUGCCAGCAGCCGCGGUAAUACAGAGGGUGCAAGCGUUAAUCGGAUUUACUGGGCGUAAAGCGCGCGUAGGCGGCCAAUUAAGUCAAAUGUGAAAUCCCCGAGCUUAACUUGGGAAUUGCAUUCGAUACUGGUUGGCUAGAGUGUGGGAGAGGAUGGUAGAAUUCCAGGUGUAGCGGUGAAAUGCGUAGAGAUCUGGAGGAAUACCGAUGGCGAAGGCAGCCAUCUGGCCUAACACUGACGCUGAGGUGCGAAAGCAUGGGGAGCAAACAGGAUUAGAUACCCUGGUAGUCCAUGCCGUAAACGAUGUCUACUAGCCGUUGGGGCCUUUGAGGCUUUAGUGGCGCAGCUAACGCGAUAAGUAGACCGCCUGGGGAGUACGGUCGCAAGACUAAAACUCAAAG